AUAAUUAAAAAAGAAAAAUGCUGAAGAAUGGGAGACAAGAGAUUAUAAUCAGCUGCAUAUGACAGUGGAAUAAAAUGAAAUCACAAAAGGAAAUGAACCUAGGGGACCAUGUUAAUGAUGGUGACAAAGGAAGGAAGGAAAAAAAGGGUAAUAAACAAAGGAACAGAGAAAGUUUCUGAUAUUUGAAUUUUCACCUAUGGGCUGAAUAUCCAAAGAGAAUGUCCUGUAAGUAUGCAACAAAAAUUCAGGAUUGUGAGACAAGAUAAAUCCAGGAAUGAAAAUGUAAAUUUAAGGUCCUCCAGUGUAGCGUCUAUUAAGAAAACCUAGAUUUAAUGAACCAAGUAAAAGAACAAAUAUUAAACAAGCAAACAAAUGAGAAGUAGGGACUAAGAUAUAAUUAAUUAAAAGGCAGAAUAAUUAUAAGCCAUAAAAAGGUGUACAAUGGUAUAUUAAAAAUAUUAUACAGCCUUAAAGAAGGAUGAUAUAGCUCUAAUGUGAUAAUGGAAAUAUACCCAGAUAUUUCCUUAGUUGAAAAGCAGAAUGCAGGCUCUUCUGCUUCCGACUGAGAAGUGAUAUGUCCACCAGCUACAGAACUAGAUCCUACAUAAAAAAUUUGGGUUUUAAUUUGGGAUUCAUAAGGAAAUGAAAGAAAAUCCAAGUAAUCCACAGCCCCUCUCCCAAAAGCAAGGAGAAACCUGGGUAGUGAAAUGGGUCUAUCUUAAGGGUAAAUCUAGUAUUACCACUGCCCGUGGCAAAAGAACUAAAACUCUAGGAUUACAGUAGUACUCCCUGGUUCCUGGAAGAAACAAAUGCAAAGGCUGUCCUGGUGAAACUCCAUCACUUCAGACAUUCAAGUUUUCUUAGAUUAAUAUUAGCCAUCUUGGAACUAAAUCGAAGACCACCAAACACCUAAGGAAAUAAAUCACCAUGCACAAGAGUCUCAGAAACAACAAAUAUUAGACUUAAACCCCCCUCCCAAGGGUUAUAGAUAAUCAGAUAAAGAAUUUAGAAGUAUAAUAGAUGAAUAAUUUAAAAAAAUAAAAGAUAAGAAUUACAAAAAUAAACAAGCAACAUGAGAUUAUUAGAAAUCACAGAUACCAGAUAUACUUGAAUAGAAUCAACCUGAACUUUCAAAAGCGAAAGGCAUAAUUGUUGAACUAAAAAACUCAAUGGAAGUAUUAAAUAGCAGACUACAUAUAAGUAAAGAGAGAAUUAUUAAACUGAAUGAAAGACAGAUUUGAUGAAUUACCUAGAAUGUACCCAGAGGGAUAAGGAAAAUGGAAAAUAUGAAAGGGGCUUAAGAGACAUGGAAGACAGAAUAAGAAAGUCUAAACAUACUUUUACCUAGAAUCCCAGAAGAGCAGAGAGAACAAAAGAGACAAUAUGUGAAGAAAUGAUUACCAAGAAUUUUCCAAAAACAAUGGAAGACGGCAUCUACAAAUAUUUGCCACAGAGCAUAUAUCAAAAAGACAAAUGUAUAAACCAAAAGAAACUGCACCUAAAUAUACUAUAGUGAAAUUGAAGGACAAGGACAAAGAAUGAGAAACAACAAAGAGGAUGAAUGGAGGACUUCUCAACAAUGCAAGAAUAGCAAUAAUGACAGACAAAAGGUAGUAGAAAAAUAGUUUCCAUUAGGAGAGGUUGGGAAAGGAUAAAGAAGUGGGGAACUACCUAAUUAAGAUAUUGUACUACUGUGCAGAGAAAUAAAGUAACCAGAAUCAAGGUAAGAGACACCAAAAUAAAGCCUCACACAUCUGGGAAACAGUAUAUAUGAAAAAGGGAGGUGGUAUUUCAGAUCAAUUAAAAAAUAAUAAUAAUUUAAUAAAUGGGACCUGGGACAUGUAGCUAUCUAUGUGCAGGGUGGGACAGAGGACUGGAUCCCUGCCUCACUCCCCAGAUAAAAAUCAAUUCCAGAUGGAGGAAAGACUUAUAUGUAUAGAAAAAAACGAAAACACUUACAAAUAUAAGGUAAAUAUACUUAUCCCUGUGGACUGGUAUUUUAAAAUUUCCAUUAAACUGAGCCAUAAAAAUGUUUGAUAACCAAGAAUAGAAAAAUUAAGAACAUCUUUUCAUCAAAAGACACCACAAAGAAAGUGUAAACAUAAGAUGUACUUUGGGAGAAUAAAUCUGCCAGAAACAACCAAAAUAGGAUCAGUACUCAGGCUAUAUGAAGAAUUAGUACAAAUUAAAGAGAAAAAGACAAAUCAAUAGGACAUGGGGCAAGGACAUCAUUAGGCAUUGCACAGUUGAACACACAUGAUCAAUGAACAUAUGGAAAGAUUUUAAACUUUAUUAGUAAUUUGAAAAAUAAAAAAAUAAGAUCCCAUUUUCACGUACAUAAGUCAUAAUUUUUUUUAAAUCUGGCAAAGCAAGUGCUGACACGAAUGUGAAUGAAUGGUAACUUGUAUGUUGCUGGCAGAAAUAUAUAGUGCAACCACUUUGGAAAACACACAUUCUCUUGUAAGGUAGAAUAUUCUUCUACUCUAUGACUCAUAAAUUCUAUUCCUAAAUAGCUACCACAGAGAAAACCUUAAUCUUGUAGAUAUUAAAACACAUACAAGAAUGUAUAUAGCUGCAUCUUUCAUUAAAAAAAAUUCAAAUGAUCUAAAUGUUCAUCAACAAAAGAAUGGAAAUAGAUUAUGGUAUAUUCGCAGUAAAAUAACAUAUAGCAGAGAAGAGUUAAUGAACUACAGCUACAUGGUGCAAUGUGGAUGAAUCUUAGAAAUACAUAAAUGACUGAAUAAAACAAUAACAUCACUUUUAUAGCGUUUAAAAAUAAGAAAAACUAAAGGAUAUAUAUUGUUUAACUACAGAGCAAAGCAAGGGCAUGAUAAACACACAGCCAAGAAAAUGCUGCUCCUGUGAGGGGACAAGGAAGGAAGUUACGAGCCAAAGGAGUGCCACUGGAAAUGUUCUAGUUUUUAAGCUGAGGCGUUAGUUUGUGGGUGUUUAUGUGAUUACUGAAACAUACAUACAGAACGUACAUAUAUAAGCUGUUAUAUGUCCUUUUAAAAAAUAAAGACAAAAGAAAUUUUACACUGGUUAUCUUCCAGGCAAACUCUUUCUCUUUUUAAUUUGUACCCUUUAUGAUGUUGGGGUUUUCUAUGAUAUAUACCACAUUUUAAAAAAAUGAAUAAACAGGAGUUAUCUGCAUAAAUGAAAUAUAGGCUACUUUUAAAUUCUCUUCUUUAUACUUUAUAGUUGUUUUAAAAAUGCUAUUUUACACAUUAAAAAAAAAAAGAAACUGUAACAGAUCUUUGCAAAAACUGACUUACCUAGCAACUCAUGUCAGAUGGAGGCUACUACCUAAAAUGAUGUUAGGAACAAGGGAUCUGAAUGUAUUUUUGAAAGGCAAAAA
Phyllostomus discolor (pale spear-nosed bat) is the source of this 3358-nucleotide long non-coding RNA. RefSeq lists it as uncharacterized. The record is from RefSeq and is a predicted model, not a curated record. The transcript is spliced from 2 exons. Lineage: Eukaryota; Metazoa; Chordata; Mammalia; Chiroptera; Phyllostomidae.